This 1927-nucleotide ribosomal RNA is filed under the name human gut metagenome. Its description in RNAcentral is "bacterial LSU rRNA". It matches the Rfam family "Bacterial large subunit ribosomal RNA", at positions 3 to 1973 of the family's 2925-position model. The record is from RNAcentral.
UCAAGUGACUAAGUGCAUGUGGCGGAUGCCUUGGCGAUCACAGGCGAAGAAAGACGCGGCAGCCUGCGAAAAGCUGCGGGGAGCUGGCAAACGAGCUUUGAUCCGCAGAUAUCUGAAUGGGGGAACCCACACCGCAAGGUGUAUCCGUGACUGAAUACAUAGGUUACGGAGGCGAACGAGGAGAACUGAAACAUCUAAGUAUCCUCAGGAAAAGAAAUCAACCGAGAUUCCGGCAGUAGCGGCGAGCGAACCCGGAGGAGCCUAGCUUUUGAUAGUACGAACUUUAGCCGAAAGGUCCUGGAAAGGCCUGCUAUAGUGGGUGAUAGCCCCGUAGGCGAAAGAGUUCGUAUGGUACUAAGGAAGCGAGAAGUAGAGCGGGACACGUGGAAUCCUGUUCGAAGAUGGGGGGACCAUCCUCCAAGGCUAAAUACUCGUGAUCGACCGAUAGUGAACCAGUACCGUGAGGGAAAGGCGAAAAGAACCCCGGGAGGGGAGUGAAAUAGAACCUGAAACCGCAUGCAUACAAACAGUAGGAGCCUCACCAGAGGUGACUGCGUACCUUUUGCAUAAUGGGUCAGCGACUUACAUUCUGUGGCGAGCUUAACCGAAUAGGGGAGGCGCAGCGAAAGCGAGUUCGAAAUGAGCGUCCAGUCGCAGGGUGUAGACCCGAAACCAGAUGAGCUAUCCAUGGCCAGGUUGAAGGUGUGGUAACACACACUGGAGGACCGAACCGACUAGUGUUGCAAAAUUAGCGGAUGAGCUGUGGAUAGGGGUGAAAGGCCAAACAAAUCUGGAGAUAGCUGGUUCUCCCCGAAAACUAUUGAGGUAGUGCCUCGUGUGUCGCUCCAGGGGGUAGAGCACUGUUUUGGCUAGGGGGACAUGGAGUCUUACCAAACCAAGGCAAACUCCGAAUACCUGGAAGCGUAAGCACGGGAGACAGAGCACCGGGUGCUAACGUCCGGACUCAAAAGGGAAACAACCCAGACCGCCGGCUAAGGUCCCCAAUAACAGCUAAGUGGAAAACGAAGUGGAAAGGCCGUGACAACCAGGAAGUUGGCUUAGAAGCAGCCAUCCUUCAAAGAAAGCGUAAUAGCUCACUGGUCGAGUCCUUCUGCGCGGAAGAUGUAACGGGGCUAAGCUGUUAACCGAAGCCGCGGAUGCACUGAUUAUUCAGUGCGUGGUAGGGGAGCGUUCUGUAAGUCUGCGAAGGCGGUUCGAGAGGACUGCUGGAGAUAUCAGAAGUGCGAAUGCUGACAUGAGUAACGUUAAAGCAGGUGAAAAGCCUGCUCGCCGUAAGCCCAAGGAUUCCUGCUCUACGUUCAUCGGAGCAGGGUGAGUCGGCUCCUAAGGUCAGGCCGAAAGGCGUAGCCGAUGGGAAUCAGGUUAAUAUUCCUGAACCUGCGUCAGAUGCGAUGGGGGGACGGAGCAUGAAAGAUCAUCCGGGUGUUGGAUGUCCCGGUUGUUGAGCGUAGGAGGUCUGCAGGCAAAUCCGCAGACGCAUCUCCAAGGCAAAGACACGUGCCGCCACGGCGGCGAAGUGAUCGGAAGUGCUUCCAAGAAAAGCCUCUAAGCACCAGUCUGACGCGGACCGUACCGCAAACCGACACUGGUGGGCGAGCUGAAUAUGCUCAGGCGCUUGAGAGAACUCGGGAGAAGGAACUCGGCAAAUUGACACCGUAACUUCGGAAGAAGGUGUGCCGUAGUAGCGUGAGAGGAGAGACACCUUGAGCGUGAAUCGGUCUCAGAGAAUAGGUGGCUGCGACUGUUUAUUAAAAACACAGCACUCUGCAAAGUCGAAAGACGACGUAUAGGGUGUGAUGCCUGCCCGGUGCUGGAAGAUUAAUUGAUGGGGUGAGAGCCCUUGAUCGAAGUCCCAGUAAACGGCGGCCGUAACUAUAACGGUCCUAAGGUAGCGAAAUUCCUUGUC